This 769-nucleotide ribosomal RNA is filed under the name Staphylococcus succinus. RNAcentral describes it as "bacterial SSU rRNA". It matches the Rfam family "Bacterial small subunit ribosomal RNA", at positions 59 to 812 of the family's 1533-position model. The record is from RNAcentral. Lineage: Bacteria; Bacillati; Bacillota; Bacilli; Caryophanales; Staphylococcaceae.
CAGUCGAGCGACGGAUAAGGAGCUUGCUCCUUUGAAGUUAGCGGCGGACGGGUGAGUAACACGUGGGUAACCUACCUAUAAGACUGGAAUAACUUCGGGAAACCGGAGCUAAUGCCGGAUAACAUAUAGAACCGCAUGGUUCUAUAGUGAAAGAUGGUUUUGCUAUCACUUAUAGAUGGACCCGCGCCGUAUUAGCUAGUUGGUAAGGUAAUGGCUUACCAAGGCGACGAUACGUAGCCGACCUGAGAGGGUGAUCGGCCACACUGGAACUGAGACACGGUCCAGACUCCUACGGGAGGCAGCAGUAGGGAAUCUUCCGCAAUGGGCGAAAGCCUGACGGAGCAACGCCGCGUGAGUGAUGAAGGUUUUCGGAUCGUAAAACUCUGUUAUUAGGGAAGAACAAAUGCGUAAGUAACUGUGCGCAUCUUGACGGUACCUAAUCAGAAAGCCACGGCUAACUACGUGCCAGCAGCCGCGGUAAUACGUAGGUGGCAAGCGUUAUCCGGAAUUAUUGGGCGUAAAGCGCGCGUAGGCGGUUUCUUAAGUCUGAUGUGAAAGCCCACGGCUCAACCGUGGAGGGUCAUUGGAAACUGGGAAACUUGAGUGCAGAAGAGGAAAGUGGAAUUCCAUGUGUAGCGGUGAAAUGCGCAGAGAUAUGGGAGGAACACCAGUGGCGAACGCGACUUUCUGGUCUGUAACUGACGCUGAUGUGCGAAAGCGUGGGGAUCAACAGGAUUAGAUACGCUGGUAGUCCACGCCGUAACGAUGA